RNAcentral lists this transfer RNA (74 nucleotides) under Haslea ostrearia. RNAcentral's name for it is "tRNA-Met". It matches the Rfam family "tRNA". Rfam says of the family: Transfer RNA (tRNA) molecules are approximately 80 nucleotides in length. The record is from RNAcentral. Lineage: Eukaryota; Bacillariophyta; Bacillariophyceae; Naviculales; Naviculaceae.
UGUUAGGGAAGUGUAAUGGUUACAUAUCAGGCUCAUGAUCUGAAGUUAGUAGGUUCGAUUCCUACACCUAACAA